Molecule: ribosomal RNA, 120 nt
Filed under: Lepisosteus oculatus (spotted gar)
Lineage: Eukaryota; Metazoa; Chordata; Actinopteri; Semionotiformes; Lepisosteidae
Source: RNAcentral
GCCAGUAGCUGUAUCACCCUGAAAUUCUCAAUUGGCAACCCACUGAAGUUAAACAGGUGUGAGCCUGGAUAGUACCUGGAUGGGAGACUUCCUGGAAAAAAACUAAGGUUGCUGUUGGAA